RNAcentral lists this ribosomal RNA (587 nucleotides) under uncultured Bacilli bacterium. Its description in RNAcentral is "bacterial SSU rRNA". It matches the Rfam family "Bacterial small subunit ribosomal RNA", at positions 132 to 707 of the family's 1533-position model. The record is from RNAcentral. Lineage: Bacteria; Bacillati; Bacillota; Bacilli.
UGUAGCGGGGGAUAACUAUUGGAAACGAUAGCUAAUACCGCAUAACAAUGGAUGACCCAUGUCAUUUAUUUGAAAGGGGCAAAUGCUCCACUACAAGAUGGACCUGCGUUGUAUUAGCUAGUAGGUGAGGUAACGGCUCACCUAGGCGACGAUACAUAGCCGACCUGAGAGGGUGAUCGGCCACACUGGGACUGAGACACGGCCCAGACUCCUACGGGAGGCAGCAGUAGGGAAUCUUCGGCAAUGGGGGCAACCCUGACCGAGCAACGCCGCGUGAGUGAAGAAGGUUUUCGGAUCGUAAAGCUCUGUUGUAAGUCAAGAACGAGUGUGAGAGUGGAAAGUUCACACUGUGACGGUAGCUUACCAGAAAGGGACGGCUAACUACGUGCCAGCAGCCGCGGUAAUACGUAGGUCCCGAGCGUUGUCCGGAUUUAUUGGGCGUAAAGCGAGCGCAGGCGGUUUGAUAAGUCUGAAGUUAAAGGCUGUGGCUCAACCAUAGUUCGCUUUGGAAACUGUCAAACUUGAGUGCAGAAGGGGAGAGUGGAAUUCCAUGUGUAGCGGUGAAAUGCGUAGAUAUAUGGAGGAAC